UGGUCGUACGCUUCUUUUUCCACCGGAGCUUGCUCCACCGGAAAAAGAAGAGUGGCGAACGGGUGAGUAACACGUGGGUAACCUGCCCAUCAGAAGGGGAUAACACUUGGAAACAGGUGCUAAUACCGUAUAACAAUCGAAACCGCAUGGUUUUGAUUUGAAAGGCGCUUUCGGGUGUCGCUGAUGGAUGGACCCGCGGUGCAUUAGCUAGUUGGUGAGGUAACGGCUCACCAAGGCUACGAUGCAUAGCCGACCUGAGAGGGUGAUCGGCCACAUUGGGACUGAGACACGGCCCAAACUCCUACGGGAGGCAGCAGUAGGGAAUCUUCGGCAAUGGACGAAAGUCUGACCGAGCAACGCCGCGUGAGUGAAGAAGGUUUUCGGAUCGUAAAACUCUGUUGUUAGAGAAGAACAAGGAUGAGAGUAACUGUUCAUCCCUUGACGGUAUCUAACCAGAAAGCCACGGCUAACUACGUGCCAGCAGCCGCGGUAAUACGUAGGUGGCAAGCGUUUUCCGGGUUUAUUGGGCGUAAGCGAGCGCAGGCGGUUUUUUAGUCUGAUGUGAAAGCCCUCGGCUUAACCGAGGAAGCGCAUCGGAAACUGGGAAACUUGAGUGCAGAAGAGGACAGUGGAACUCCAUGUGUAGCGGUGAAAUGCGUAGAUAUAUGGAAGAACACCAGUGGCGAAGGCGGCUGUCUGGUCUGUAACUGACGCUGAGGCUCGAAAGCAUGGGUAGCGAACAGGAUUA
RNAcentral lists this ribosomal RNA (748 nucleotides) under Lactobacillales bacterium BCOT-1. RNAcentral describes it as "bacterial SSU rRNA". It matches the Rfam family "Bacterial small subunit ribosomal RNA", at positions 59 to 780 of the family's 1533-position model. Lineage: Bacteria; Bacillati; Bacillota; Bacilli; Lactobacillales. The record is from RNAcentral.